This 126-nucleotide non-coding RNA is filed under the name Pogona vitticeps (central bearded dragon). RNAcentral's name for it is "U4atac minor spliceosomal RNA (ENSPVIG00000007649.1)". It matches the Rfam family "U4atac minor spliceosomal RNA". Rfam says of the family: U4atac is an essential component of the minor U12-type spliceosome complex which is required for removal of the rarer class of eukaryotic introns (AT-AC, U12-type). These interacting stem loops have been shown to be required for in vivo splicing. The record is from Rfam by way of RNAcentral. Lineage: Eukaryota; Metazoa; Chordata; Lepidosauria; Squamata; Agamidae.
ACCAUCCUUAUCUUGGGGUUGCGCUACUGUUCAAUGAACGCUUAGUGAGGACAGUACUGCUAACGCCACCGCAACACAUAAGCAUCCCUGGGGUUUAUGCCCCACUGAGGUGCAAUUUUUGGAACC